This 600-nucleotide ribosomal RNA is filed under the name Gracilibacillus halotolerans. RNAcentral's name for it is "bacterial SSU rRNA". It matches the Rfam family "Bacterial small subunit ribosomal RNA", at positions 67 to 648 of the family's 1533-position model. The record is from RNAcentral. Lineage: Bacteria; Bacillati; Bacillota; Bacilli; Caryophanales; Bacillaceae.
CAGAAUCCUUCGGGAGGACGUUUGUGGAACGAGCGGCGGACGGGUGAGUAACACGUGGGCAACCUACCUGUAAGACUGGGAUAACACCGGGAAACCGGUGCUAAUACCGGAUAGAGUUUCCUCUCGCAUGAGAGGAAACGGAAAGGCGGCUUCGGCUGUCACUUACAGAUGGGCCCGCGGCGCAUUAGCUAGUUGGUGGGGUAAUGGCUCACCAAGGCAACGAUGCGUAGCCGACCUGAGAGGGUGAUCGGCCACACUGGGACUGAGACACGGCCCAGACUCCUACGGGAGGCAGCAGUAGGGAAUCUUCCGCAAUGGACGAAAGUCUGACGGAGCAACGCCGCGUGAACGAAGAAGGUUUUCGGAUCGUAAAGUUCUGUUGUUAGGGAAGAACAAGUACCGUUUGAAUAAGGCGGUACCUUGACGGUACCUAUCGAGGAAGCCCCGGCUAACUACGUGCCAGCAGCCGCGGUAAUACGUAGGGGGCAAGCGUUGUCCGGAAUUAUUGGGCGUAAAGCGCGCGUAGGCGGUUUCUUAAGUCUGAUGUGAAAUCUUGCGGCUCAACCGCAAGCGGUCAUUGGAAACUGGGGAACUUGAGUG